GACGAACGCUGGCGGCGUGCUUAACACAUGCAAGUCGAACGGAGGUUUGAGAGGAAGCUUGCGAAUCGCAAACCUUAGUGGCGGACGGGUGAGUAACGCGUGGAUAACCUGCCUAUUGGACCGGGACAACACCGGGAAACUGGUGCUAAUACCGGAUACGCUCGUGAGGACACAUGUUAUCACGAGGAAAGGAGCAAUCCGCUAAUAGAUGGGUCCGCGUCCCAUUAGCUAGUUGGAGGUGUAAGAGACCCCCAAGGCGACGAUGGGUAGCCGGCCUGAGAGGGUGGACGGCCACACUGGAACUGAGACACGGUCCAGACUCCUACGGGAGGCAGCAGUGGGGAAUCUUCCGCAAUGGGCGAAAGCCUGACGGAGCAACGCCGCGUGAGUGAUGAAGGCCUUCGGGUUGUAAAACUCUGUCUUCAGGGAAGAAAAAAAUGACGGUACCUGAGGAGGAAGCCCCGGCUAACUACGUGCCAGCAGCCGCGGUAAAACGUAGGGGGCGAGCGUUGUCCGGAAUUACUGGGCGUAAAGGGCGCGUAGGCGGUUUUUUAAGUCAGAGGUGAAAACUACCGGCUCAGCCGGUAGCCUGCCUUUGAAACUGAGAGACUUGAGGGCAGGAGAGGGGAGUGGAAUUCCCAGUGUAGCGGUGAAAUGCGUAGAUAUUGGGAGGAACACCAGUGGCGAAGGCGGCUCUCUGGCCUGUUACUGACGCUGAGGCGCGAAAGCGUGGGGAGCGAACGGGAUUAGAUACCCCGGUAGUCCACGCCGUAAACGAUGGGUGCUAGGUGUAGGAGGUAUCGACCCCUUC
This 811-nucleotide ribosomal RNA is filed under the name uncultured Peptococcaceae bacterium. RNAcentral describes it as "bacterial SSU rRNA". It matches the Rfam family "Bacterial small subunit ribosomal RNA", at positions 28 to 841 of the family's 1533-position model. The record is from RNAcentral. Lineage: Bacteria; Bacillati; Bacillota; Clostridia; Eubacteriales; Peptococcaceae.